GAUGAACGCUGGCGGCGUGCCUAAUACAUGCAAGUCGAGCGAACAGACGAGGAGCUUGCUCCUCUGACGUUAGCGGCGGACGGGUGAGUAACACGUGGAUAACCUACCUAUAAGACUGGGAUAACUUCGGGAAACCGGAGCUAAUACCGGAUAAUAUAUUGAACCGCAUGGUUCAAUAGUGAAAGACAGUUUUGCUGUCACUUAUAGAUGGAUCCGCGCCGCAUUAGCUAGUUGGUAAGGUAACGGCUUACCAAGGCAACGAUGCGUAGCCGACCUGAGAGGGUGAUCGGCCACACUGGAACUGAGACACGGUCCAGACUCCUACGGGAGGCAGCAGUAGGGAAUCUUCCGCAAUGGGCGAAAGCCUGACGAAGCAACGCCGCGUGAGUGAUGAAGGUCUUCGGAUCGUAAAACUCUGUUAUUAGGGAAGAACAAAUGUGUAAGUAACUAUGCACGUCUUGACGGUACCUAAUCAGAAAGCCACGGCUAACUACGUG
RNAcentral lists this ribosomal RNA (497 nucleotides) under uncultured bacterium. RNAcentral describes it as "partial 16S ribosomal RNA". It matches the Rfam family "Bacterial small subunit ribosomal RNA", at positions 28 to 507 of the family's 1533-position model. The record is from RNAcentral.